UGAGGAAUAUUGCACAAUGGGCGAAAGCCUGAUGCAGCAACGCCGCGUGAGUGAUGAAGGCCUUUGGGUCGUAAAACUCUGUCCUUGGGGAAGAAAAAAAUGACGGUACCCUUGGAGGAAGCCCCGGCUAACUACGUGCCAGCAGCCGCGGUAAUACGUAGGGGGCAAGCGUUAUCCGGAAUUAUUGGGCGUAAAGAGUGCGUAGGUGGUUUUGUAAGCGUAGGGUGAAAGGCAGUAGCUCAACUAUUGUUAGCCCUGCGAACUGUGAGACUUGAGUGCAGGAGAGGAAAGUGGAAUUCCUAGUGUAGCGGUGAAAUGCGUAGAUAUUAGGAGGAACACCAGUGGCGAAGGCGACUUUCUGGACUGUAACUGACACUGAGGCACGAAAGCGUGGGUAGCAAACA
RNAcentral lists this ribosomal RNA (404 nucleotides) under uncultured prokaryote. RNAcentral describes it as "bacterial SSU rRNA". It matches the Rfam family "Bacterial small subunit ribosomal RNA", at positions 355 to 774 of the family's 1533-position model. The record is from RNAcentral.